UUAAGCGACUAAGCGUACACGGUGGAUGCCCUGGCAGUCAGAGGCGAUGAAGGGCGUGCUAAUCUGCGAUAAGCGCCGGUAAGGUGAUAUGAACCGUUAUAACCGGCGAUACCCGAAUGGGGAAACCCAGUGUGACUCGUCACACUAUCAUUAACUGAAUCCAUAGGUUAAUGAGGCGAACCGGGGGAACUGAAACAUCUAAGUACCCCGAGGAAAAGAAAUCAACCGAGAUUCCCCCAGUAGCGGCGAGCGAACGGGGAGGAGCCCAGAGCCUGAAUCAGCAUGUGUGUUAGUGGAAGCGUCUGGAAAGGCGCGCGAUACAGGGUGACAGCCCCGUACACAAAAGCGCAUGUGCUGUGAGCUCGAUGAGUAGGGCGGGACACGUGGUAUCCUGUCUGAAUAUGGGGGGACCAUCCUCCAAGGCUAAAUACUCCUGACUGACCGAUAGUGAACCAGUACCGUGAGGGAAAGGCGAAAAGAACCCCGGCGAGGGGAGUGAAAAAGAACCUGAAACCGUGUACGUACAAGCAGUGGGAGCCCCACCACUAAGCCAGUGGUGAACUCCACAUACGCAUCCUUUGCUGAGGAUACGGUUAACGGAGCGAAAGCGACGUUCAACCGCAAAAGAAGCAGAGGGGGCUUAGUGGUGGGGUGACUGCGUACCUUUUGUAUAAUGGGUCAGCGACUUAUAUUCUGUAGCAAGGUUAACCGAAUAGGGGAGCCGGAGGGAAACCGAGUCUUAAUUGGGCGUUAAGUUGCAGGGUAUAGACCCGAAACCCGGUGAUCUAGCCAUGGGCAGGUUGAAGGUUGGGUAACACUAACUGGAGGACCGAACCGACUAAUGUUGAAAAAUUAGCGGAUGACCUGUGGCUGGGGGUGAAAGGCCAAUCAAACCGGGAGAUAGCUGGUUCUCCCCGAAAGCUAUUUAGGUAGCGCCUCGUGAAUUCAUCUCCGGGGGUAGAGCACUGUUUCGGCUAGGGGGCCAUCCCCGGCUUACCAACCCGAUGCAAACUGCGAAUACCGGAGAAUGUUAUCACGGGAGACACACGGCGGGUGCUAACGUCCGUCGUGAAGAGGGAAACAACCCAGACCGCCAGCUAAGGUCCCAAAGUCAUGGUUAAGUGGGAAACGAUGUGGGAAGGCCCAGACAGCCAGGAUGUUGGCUUAGAAGCAGCCAUCAUUUAAAGAAAGCGUAAUAGCUCACUGGUCGAGUCGGCCUGCGCGGAAGAUGUAACGGGGCUAAACCAUGCACCGAAGCUGCGGCAGCGAACGUAUCACUUAAAGCGAUUCAGCGGGUUACGAUUGACGGAGCGAAGCGACGUCAAAGCGUAUACAAAGUCGAGUCGGUUUAAGGAUACGUUCGUUGGGUAGGGGAGCGUUCUGUAAGCCUGUGAAGGUGGCCUGUGAGGGUUGCUGGAGGUAUCAGAAGUGCGAAUGCUGACAUAAGUAACGAUAAAGCGGGUGAAAAGCCCGCUCGCCGGAAGACCAAGGGUUCCUGUCCAACGUUAAUCGGGGCAGGGUGAGUCGACCCCUAAGGCGAGGCCGAAAGGCGUAGUCGAUGGGAAACGGGUUAAUAUUCCCGUACUUGGUGUUACUGCGAAGGGGGGACGGAGAAGGCUAUGUUGGCCGGGCGACGGUUGUCCCGGUUUAAGCGUGUAGGUGUGUGUUCCAGGUAAAUCCGGUUCACUUUAACACUGAGGCGUGACGACGAGGCACUACGGUGCUGAAGCAACAAAUGCCCUGCUUCCAGGAAAAGCCUCUAAGCAUCAGGUAACAUCAAAUCGUACCCCAAACCGACACAGGUGGUCAGGUAGAGAAUACCAAGGCGCUUGAGAGAACUCGGGUGAAGGAACUAGGCAAAAUGGUGCCGUAACUUCGGGAGAAGGCACGCUGACACGUAGGUGAAGUGAUUUACUCAUGGAGCUGAAGUCAGUCGAAGAUACCAGCUGGCUGCAACUGUUUAUUAAAAACACAGCACUGUGCAAACACGAAAGUGGACGUAUACGGUGUGACGCCUGCCCGGUGCCGGAAGGUUAAUUGAUGGGGUCAGCGCAAGCGAAGCUCCUGAUCGAAGCCCCGGUAAACGGCGGCCGUAACUAUAACGGUCCUAAGGUAGCGAAAUUCCUUGUCGGGUAAGUUCCGACCUGCACGAAUGGCGUAAUGAUGGCCAGGCUGUCUCCACCCGAGACUCAGUGAAAUUGAACUCGCUGUGAAGAUGCAGUGUACCCGCGGCAAGACGGAAAGACCCCGUGAACCUUUACUAUAGCUUGACACUGAACAUUGAGCCUUGAUGUGUAGGAUAGGUGGGAGGCUUUGAAGUGUGGACGCCAGUCUGCAUGGAGCCGACCUUGAAAUACCACCCUUUAAUGUUUGAUGUUCUAACGUGGACCCGUUACCCGGGUUGCGGACAGUGUCUGGUGGGUAGUUUGACUGGGGCGGUCUCCUCCUAAAGAGUAACGGAGGAGCACGAAGGUUGGCUAAUCCUGGUCGGACAUCAGGAGGUUAGUGCAAUGGCAUAAGCCAGCUUGACUGCGAGCGUGACGGCGCGAGCAGGUGCGAAAGCAGGUCAUAGUGAUCCGGUGGUUCUGAAUGGAAGGGCCAUCGCUCAACGGAUAAAAGGUACUCCGGGGAUAACAGGCUGAUACCGCCCAAGAGUUCAUAUCGACGGCGGUGUUUGGCACCUCGAUGUCGGCUCAUCACAUCCUGGGGCUGAAGUAGGUCCCAAGGGUAUGGCUGUUCGCCAUUUAAAGUGGUACGCGAGCUGGGUUUAGAACGUCGUGAGACAGUUCGGUCCCUAUCUGCCGUGGGCGCUGGAGAACUGAGGGGGGCUGCUCCUAGUACGAGAGGACCGGAGUGGACGCAUCACUGGUGUUCGGGUUGUCAUGCCAAUGGCACUGCCCGGUAGCUAAAUGCGGAAGAGAUAAGUGCUGAAAGCAUCUAAGCACGAAACUUGCCCCGAGAUGAGUUCUCCCUGAGACUUUAGGUCUCCUGAAGGAACGUUGAAGACGACGACGUUGAUAGGCCGGGUGUGUAAGCGCAGCGAUGCGUUGAGCUAACCGGUACUAAUGAACCGUGAGGCUUAACCUU
RNAcentral lists this ribosomal RNA (3087 nucleotides) under Salmonella enterica subsp. enterica. RNAcentral describes it as "23S ribosomal RNA". It matches the Rfam family "Bacterial large subunit ribosomal RNA". Lineage: Bacteria; Pseudomonadati; Pseudomonadota; Gammaproteobacteria; Enterobacterales; Enterobacteriaceae. The record is from RNAcentral.